This 698-nucleotide ribosomal RNA is filed under the name uncultured bacterium. RNAcentral's name for it is "bacterial SSU rRNA". It matches the Rfam family "Bacterial small subunit ribosomal RNA", at positions 56 to 748 of the family's 1533-position model. The record is from RNAcentral.
UGCAGUCGAACGGUAACAUAGACUGCUUGCAGUCUGAUGACGAGUGGCGCACGGGUGCGUAACGCGUAUGCAACUUACCCCAAACUGGAGAAUAGCCUUUAGAAAUGAAGAAUAAUACUCCAUAGUAUUUCACCCCGGCAUCGGGGAGAUCUUAAAGCUCCGGCGGUUUGGGAUGGGCAUGCGUUCUAUUAGUUAGUUGGUGAGGUAACGGCUCACCAAGACCACGAUAGAUAGGGGGCCUGAGAGGGUUAUCCCCCACACUGGUACUGAGACACGGACCAGACUCCUACGGGAGGCAGCAGUGAGGAAUAUUGGUCAAUGGACGAAAGUCUGAACCAGCCAUGCCGCGUGCAGGAUGAAUGCCCUACGGGUUGUAAACUGCUUUUAUAUAGGAAGAAACCCCUCUACGUGUAGAGGGCUGACGGUACUAUAAGAAUAAGGACCGGCUAACUCCGUGCCAGCAGCCGCGGUAAUACGGAGGGUCCAAGCGUUAUCCGGAUUUAUUGGGUUUAAAGGGUCCGUAGGCGGGAGAAUAAGUCAGUGGUGAAAGCCUGCAGCUUAACUGCAGAACUGCCAUUGAAACUGUUUUUCUUGAAUGUAGAUGANGUGGGCGGAAUAUAUCAUGUAGCGGUGAAAUGCAUAGAUAUGAUAUAGAACACCGAUNGCGAAGGCAGCUCACUAAACUAUUAUUGACGCUG